Molecule: ribosomal RNA, 467 nt
Filed under: uncultured bacterium
Lineage: Bacteria
Description: partial 16S ribosomal RNA
Rfam family: Bacterial small subunit ribosomal RNA
Source: RNAcentral
GACGAACGCUGGCGGCGUGCUUAACACAUGCAAGUCGAACGGAAAGGCCUCUUUCGGGGGGUACUCGAGUGGCGAACGGGUGAGUAACACGUGAGUAACCUGCCCUUGACUUUGGGAUAACUUCAGGAAACUGGGGCUAAUACCGGAUAGGAGCUCCUGCUGCAUGGUGGGGGUUGGAAAGUUUCGGCGGUUGGGGAUGGACUCGCGGCUUAUCAGCUUGUUGGUGGGGUAGUGGCUUACCAAGGCUUUGACGGGUAGCCGGCCUGAGAGGGUGACCGGCCACAUUGGGACUGAGAUACGGCCCAGACUCCUACGGGAGGCAGCAGUGGGGAAGAUUGCACAAUGGGUGGAAGCCUGAUGCAGCAACGCCGUGUGCGGGAUGACGGCCUUCGGGUUGUAAACCGCUUUCGCUCAUGACGAAGCUUUGUGUGACAGUAGUGGGUAAAGAAGCACCGGCUAACUACGUG